This 484-nucleotide ribosomal RNA is filed under the name uncultured bacterium. RNAcentral describes it as "partial 16S ribosomal RNA". It matches the Rfam family "Bacterial small subunit ribosomal RNA", at positions 30 to 507 of the family's 1533-position model. The record is from RNAcentral.
AUUGAACGCUGGCGGCAGGCCUAACACAUGCAAGUCGAGCGGAUGAAGGGAGCUUGCUCCUGGAUUCAGCGGCGGACGGGUGAGUAAUGCCUAGGAAUCUGCCUGGUAGUGGGGGAUAACGUCCGGAAACGGGCGCUAAUACCGCAUACGUCCUGAGGGAGAAAGUGGGGGAUCUUCGGACCUCACGCUAUCAGAUGAGCCUAGGUCGGAUUAGCUAGUUGGUGGGGUAAAGGCCUACCAAGGCGACGAUCCGUAACUGGUCUGAGAGGAUGAUCAGUCACACUGGAACUGAGACACGGUCCAGACUCCUACGGGAGGCAACAGGGGGGAAUAUUGGACAAUGGGCGAAAGCCUGAUCCAGCCAUGCCGCGUGUGUGAAGAAGGUCUUCGGAUUGUAAAGAUGUUUAAGUUGGGAGGAAGGGCAGUAAGUUAAUACCUUGCUGUUUUGACGGUACCAACAGAAUAAGCACCGGCUAACUUCGUG